CGCGAAUGGCUCAUUACAACAGCUAUAAUUUACUUGAAUUUGACAACCCUACUUGGAUACCGGUGGUAAUUCUAGCGCUAAUACAUGCACCAAAGCUCCGACCGCGAGGGAAGGGCGCAUUUAUUAGAACAAAACCACACGGCUUCGGCCGUCCAAUGUUGACUCAGAAUAACUAAGCUGAUCGCAUGGUCUUGCACGGGCGACGUUUCUUUCAAGUAUCUGCCUUAUCAACUUUCGAUGGUAGUGUAUCUGACUACCAUGGUGAUGACGGGUAACGGAGGAUAAGGGUUCGACUCCGGAGAAGGGGCCUGAGAAAUGGCCACUACGUCUAAGGAUGGCAGCAGGCGCGCAAAUUACCCACUCUCAGUACGAGGAGGUAGUGACGAGAAAUAACAAGACCGUUCUCACAAGAGGCCGGUCAUUGGAAUGGGUACAAUUUAAACCCUUUAACGAGUAUCUAUGAGAGGGCAAGUCUGGUGCCAGCAGCCGCGGUAAUUCCAGCU
This 503-nucleotide ribosomal RNA is filed under the name Tylenchorhynchus teeni. RNAcentral's name for it is "SSU rRNA". It matches the Rfam family "Eukaryotic small subunit ribosomal RNA", at positions 88 to 590 of the family's 1831-position model. Lineage: Eukaryota; Metazoa; Nematoda; Chromadorea; Rhabditida; Telotylenchidae. The record is from RNAcentral.